GAUGAACGCUGGCGGCGUGCCUAAUACAUGCAAGUCGAGCGAACAGACGAGGAGCUUGCUCCUCUGACGUUAGCGGCGGACGUGUGAGUAACACGUGGAUAACCUACCUAUAAGACUGGGAUCACUUCGGGAAACCGGAGCUAAUACCGGAUAAUAUAUUGAACCGCAUGGUUCAAUAGUGAAAGACGGUUUUGCUGUCACUUAUAGAUGGAUCCGCGCCGCAUUAGCUAGUUGGUAAGGUAACGGCUUACCAAGGCAACGAUGCGUAGCCGACCUGAGAGGGUGAUAGGCCACACUGGAACUGAGACACGGUCAAGACGCCUAAGGGAGGCAGCAGUAGGGAAUCUUCCGCAAUGGGCGAAAGCCUGACGGAGCAACGCCGCGUGAGUGAUGAAGGUCUUCGGAUCGGAAAACUCUGUUAUGAGGGAAGAACAAAUGUGGAAGUAACUAUGCACGUCUUGACGGUACCUAAUCAGAAAGCCACGGCUAACUACGUG
RNAcentral lists this ribosomal RNA (497 nucleotides) under uncultured bacterium. Its description in RNAcentral is "partial 16S ribosomal RNA". It matches the Rfam family "Bacterial small subunit ribosomal RNA", at positions 28 to 507 of the family's 1533-position model. The record is from RNAcentral.